Molecule: long non-coding RNA, 1857 nt
Organism: Anopheles darlingi
Lineage: Eukaryota; Metazoa; Arthropoda; Insecta; Diptera; Culicidae
Exons: 5
Source: RefSeq, a predicted model, not a curated record
UUCGAAGUGCGUAGAGACAGCGAGCGUGUAUAGGCUCUCUAGCGGGAGGUUGAUUCCGGGCGACGACGAAGCAUAAGUUCGUUUUGCGAAGCCACCAGCAAACAAGCGCUUAUUUGGUCAACCGUCGACAGACGAAAAACGCGUUUCUGUCCCGUGAUCCAGCAAGUGUGUGACGACUCGAGAAUUAUUGCGAGAAGAAAGCAGGAACCAGUCGUUUAUCUCCGAACCGUGCAGAAUACGGGCAUUGUGCGCCGCGCGCACUGAGCAGCAGGAAAUUAUAAAUAUACUUUCCGGUUCACCUCAUCGGUUAAUCUGUUGACCGUCGUCGGCGGCGAUUGCCACCCAACCCAACACCACCGCUGGCGUUUGUUGUUCGGUGCCGGAGCCCAGACCACAAGUCGCUUGAGGAGGAAGCGUCCAGCUAAUCAGCAAGCGACCGAGGGAAAGAGAGAGCAAAAGAGCUCCAGAAUCCGUUUGGUUCCGGUGCGGUGCGUGCCGAGUGCGUGCGAUGCUUUCAGAGUCCAGCGGUUGUUAAUGCUACUAUCACUCUAACUGUGCCGGGUCCUGGACCGCUGCCGGGGCGGUCUCUCUCUCUGAUAUCUGCCGUGCUCUGAUGACAUCGGGUGCCAUUACAACAAUCCCUCGACGCGGCGGGAGGGUCCCUGGCCCUGAGCGCGAGCGUGCAUAAAUAUUAAUGGAACGACCUUCUCGUCCUCCUGCUUGUCGUCCUCCUCCUCCUCCUGCUCUUCAUUUUCCGUGAUCUCCCCGGUCAGUGUGUGUGUGUGUGUGUGUGUGUGUGUGAAGGAGGGGCGGACCGGCCCCCCGUGCGCGGUAUCCCGGGGUAAAUUAGAUUAAAAAGCGGUAAAAAUCAAGAAAUGCGCUCUCGACUAAAAGGGUGAUUUUUUGGGGGAGGCGGCACUCUACGGAGUUUCGGUGCGUGCGUUCUCCGUGUGUGUUUUUUUCUGGUGUAUCCUGGUGCGUGUGUGUGUGUGUGUGUGUGUCUGCGCCUCUUGUGCGGUGUUAGCGGUGGUGCAGGCCCCGCAAAACGUCCCCCACCAUUAGUGGCGCGAGCGAGCGAGCGAGCGCGCGCGCCCUUGCGAGUAGUAGUGGCCGCGCACUGUGUGUGAGGUCCAAGUUUGAAGGAGGAAGAGAAGAAGAAGCAAAAGUGCUGUUCGCGGUGGUGUGCCAGGUGACCACGGGGAAGACGGGAAGGUGAGGGAGAUCCGGUCCCGGUUUUGUGCGUAAGUGUGUAUCGGUCGUUCGGUCGGUCGAUCAUCUUCGGCUCAAUUAGAGUGAGCUUUUGCUUCUUUGAGCAGCAGCAGCAGCAGAAGAAGAAUAGGUGGUGAACGGCGAAGAAAGGCGAAGGAGAAGAGUUAAAGAAAACAAAGUGGAAGCACAGCAGGUGACGAAGGCCGUGGAGUCUCGCUGGAGUUGUUCGCAGUUCGCGGAGAGUUCAUCGGAUCGUCCACAGGACGUCCGCGCGAGCAGAUUCGUGUUCUUCGUCAUCGUCCUGCGUCGUCGUGUUUCGUGUUCGUCGUCUGCAGCGGUGUGACCAUAAAAGCUGAAACAGGGCCCCGCGAACGAGAAGUGUGGUACCGAGGAGCUGUCGAGAGAGAGAGAGAGCUGGACAAGCCGGCGUCUUCGUAGGGCUCGCCACGAGAAACGAUGCAGCAUCGGCAGCAGCAGGAGCAACAGCAGCAACAACAGCAGCAUUACGACUAUCACGCCGGACGAUCAGAAGCAGAGCUGCGGCAACUGCAACCGAAGAAUCAUCAGCAGGAGCAGCAGCAGCAGCAGCAUCAUCAUUAUCGUGGUCGACAGUGUCGUGACCGGAGCGUGCUCGAUCGCCAAUAAGCU